UUAUAUGAGAGUUUGAUCCUGGCUCAGGAUGAACGCUGGCGGUGUGCCUAAUACAUGCAAGUCGAACGCGUUGGCCCAAUUGAUUGAUGGUGCUUGCACCUGAUCGAUUUUGGUCGCCAACGAGUGGCGGACGGGUGAGUAACACGUAGGUAACCUGCCCAGAAGCGGGGGACAACAUCUGGAAACAGAUGCUAAUACCGCAUAACAGCGUUGUUCGCAUGGACAACGCUUAAAAGAUGGCUUCUCGCUAUCACUUCUGGAUGGACCUGCGGUGCAUUAGCUUGUUGGUGGGGUAACGGCCUACCAAGGCGAUGAUGCAUAGCCGAGUUGAGAGACUGAUCGGCCACAAUGGGACUGAGACACGGCCCAUACUCCUACGGGAGGCAGCAGUAGGGAAUCUUCCACAAUGGGCGCAAGCCUGAUGGAGCAACACCGCGUGAGUGAAGAAGGGUUUCGGCUCGUAAAGCUCUGUUGUUAAAGAAGAACACGUAUGAGAGUAACUGUUCAU
Molecule: ribosomal RNA, 508 nt
Filed under: Limosilactobacillus fermentum
Lineage: Bacteria; Bacillati; Bacillota; Bacilli; Lactobacillales; Lactobacillaceae
Description: bacterial SSU rRNA
Rfam family: Bacterial small subunit ribosomal RNA
Source: RNAcentral